GAUGAACGCUGGCGGCGUGCCUAAUACAUGCAAGUCGAGCGAACGGACUAGAAGCUUGCUUCUCUGAUGUUAGCGGCGGACGGGUGAGUAACACGUGGAUAACCUACCUAUAAGACUGGGAUAACUUCGGGAAACCGGAGCUAAUACCGGAUAAUAUUUUGAACCGCAUGGUUCAAAAGUGAAAGACGGUCUUGCUGUCACUUAUAGAUGGAUCCGCGCCGCAUUAGCUAGUUGGUAAGGUAACGGCUUACCAAGGCAACGAUGCAUAGCCGACCUGAGAGGGUGAUCGGCCACACUGGAACUGAGACACGGUCCAGACUCCUACGGGAGGCAGCAGUAGGGAAUCUUCCGCAAUGGGCGAAAGCCUGACGGAGCAACGCCGCGUGAGUGAUGAAGGUCUUCGGAUCGUAAAACUCUGUUAUUAGGGAAGAACAUAUGUGUAAGUAACUGUGCACAUCUUGACGGUACCUAAUCAGAAAGCCACGGCUAACUACGUG
RNAcentral lists this ribosomal RNA (497 nucleotides) under uncultured bacterium. RNAcentral's name for it is "partial 16S ribosomal RNA". It matches the Rfam family "Bacterial small subunit ribosomal RNA", at positions 28 to 507 of the family's 1533-position model. The record is from RNAcentral.